This is a long non-coding RNA of Cercocebus atys (sooty mangabey), 6665 nucleotides long. RefSeq lists it as uncharacterized. NCBI's taxonomy places the organism in Eukaryota, Metazoa, Chordata, Mammalia, Primates, Cercopithecidae. The record is from RefSeq and is a predicted model, not a curated record. The transcript is spliced from 5 exons.
AAAAAAAAAAAAUUAUCAGUGCUUCUCCAACAGCCUUAGAAUAAGUUCAGACUUUUUAGGAUGACAUACUCGACCAUGCUAAUCUUCCUGGAUUUCUCCUUCAGGACUUCUGCCACGGAUUUAUACAAUGUAUUUAUUUAGAACCUACUUGCCAGGCUCUGUUCUUCACCCUCAACUCUCUGGGUACAGCUUUUUCCCUAAGGUCUUUACACAUAGUACUUUCUUUGCUUGGAAUAUCUUUCUCUGUAACCUGCCCACUUGUCUGGCUUACUUCUACUUCUCCUUCAGAACUCAUCUCAAUAUUCACCUUGUGUGGUUAAAGACCCUAUGCGUGGUCAGAGUUAGGCACCCUUAUAAGCUCCCCUGUUGAUAUCACCUCACUGUUGCCUCAUCAACUGCAUAUUCAUCUUUGUUCUCAUGAUACUAUAAUGUCCUUCAAAGCGGAAACUGUGUCUUAUUCAUCUUUGUAUUCCCAGCACCCAGCACAAUACCUGACACAGCGCAAGCACUCAAUAAUGAAUAAAGUGGCAGAGUUGGGUUUCAAAGUCAGGUCUUUUCUCUCUGGCACAAAUCUCACAUUUCUUCAUGCCACUUCUCAAUACUGUGAAUCUGAAAAAUUCUAAGAGCUGAGCAAGGUCUAUUUUUGCCUAGCACUAAUUAAAACACAGGCAAAUAGAUUAUUAUUAGUUCCAUGAGGAUUCAGUUUAUAUUUCUGUACACCCCUUCCUCCAUCAUUCCACCACUUGGAUCAUCAGAGUACUUAGGAUUAUCUAUAUCUAAAAUGACUGAAAGGCUAGGCAUGGUUGAGUGCACCUGUAGCCGCAGUUACUCAGGAGGCUGAGGUGGGAGGCUUGCUUGAGCCCAGGAGUUGGAGGUCAGCCUGGGUAACACAGUGAGAUGUUGUUGUAAUAAAUAAAUAAGUAGACUGAAAGAACUUUCUCUAUACUUUUAUAUCCUUUUGUAACUCUUAUCCUGCUGCUUCCAUAAUACCACUGAGGCAGGGAGAGAGUAAGUACAUGGGGAGUAAGGUAAAUUUUAUUUUUCUGUCAACAGACACUAAAAAUGGAUACAUCAAUAGAAAAUCAUUUCCCAUCAUUUCCCUCAAGGUUCCUAUGGAUAGAUACUAAAGGUUCAGUGCUAAAAUUUAACAUUGCAAAAUCCACCUAAAAUUGAAAUUUUUAUGUAGUGAGUUCAAUCUCAUCACAGAAGUUUGUAAAUGGGAGGAGCCUUAGAAAUCCUUUAGUCCAGCACUUUCAUUUAAGCUUCCACAAAGAAACUGACAUAAGACCUACAAUGGCUCACUCAAGGUCAUCCAGGCUAUUGAUGCCAUUAUACAUCUUUUUCAAAGGGCUUUAUUUUCCAUCUAAACAAAUUGUCUACAUCAGAAUCCACCUAUUUACAUAGGGCUUAUCUUUCUGAUAUUGCCUUUGCAAUAUCCUUGUUAUAAAGAGGAAGGAACUGAAAACAAAACAAAACAAAACAAGGUUGUCUUGUCCAGGGACGUAGGGGAAUUGGUAAAAGAGACAAUUAGUACACAAAGUGAUGGGGUUUCCUAUUUGUAGUGCAGCCUUGUAAUCACACUGUGUUCUCUGAAUGCCACAAUACUAACCCAAGCUUACUUGUCCUUCCUGGGCCUGGAUUCCAUUCAAUUCUAUGCCUUAUUUAGUCUAAAUGAUUUCCCCAGCUUCAACGUGUAUUUAUUUAUUUAUUUAUUUAUGCGUUUCAUUUUAGAAGUAUACUUAAAUCUACUCUUUACUCGAGUGUGUCUUAGUUCUAGUGCUGAGGAAUGAAGAUUUUGGGUAAAAGAAAUCGAGAUGAUUUUUUUUUCUAGGCUUUACAUUUCAAGGAUGGUUUCUCAAAUGGCAACUGGCAGUCUGCUCCUCAAAUGAUGACACUUUCCACGGGAAUUAGAAUUUAAUUGGAAUAAUUUGUUUUCAACGGGAAGCAAAGAUUUCUUUCCAAGAGGAUCAGUUUGAUAAUGUUUUACCAGCUAGUGCUACGAGACCAAAUAUAAACCAGUUCUGAGAAACAGGAAGUGAACUGACUGGUCUAGUCUGAGUGUCCCUGGCAGUGACGCAAAUACAGAAAUCAAAUUAGGAAAACAAGAUAUGUGGGUGUGAGGCAAUCGAUAAUCCAGGAUGCUACAACAUAAGCAAGAACGCCUUUAACCCGAUGCCGUUCAUUUUAAUAACACCCUGAGCAGUUUGAUUUCCAUGGAACACGCUGGUGAUUAGAGAGCAGCAGGAGCUUGGGUUCCCUAGCAACAGCAUGUGCUUUUGAGACAGUCAUUAGCCUUUCAGUUAAUCCCAUCAACCCCUUACCUCUAAAUGUAUGACUGACAUUAAAAAAAUGAUGUUUUAGAAAGUGCUUUGAAAUUUCCAGGAGUGCAAUGGAAGGGAAUAAUCAUAAUUAAAAAGUUGCCUGGAGAACUACAGUCCAGUGAAGGAAGUAAUGUUCCUACAUGCCCAGCCUGUCCGUAAACUUCCCUGCUCUCAGUUGUAGGUUCUGAAUUCCCGUGGCAAAGGGCAAGGGAGGUGAAAUUGUUCAGAGUUUCAGGCAGUCUUCUCACCCAACGUGAGUAGUAUUGCAAUGUCUGUCGGAAUCAUGGCUCUGAAGAUGAGGAGAGGAGCGGGGUGGGCAGUUUGUGUGGUGAGGAGUCUGGCCGCAGGUAGACUGGGAGGGAAUGUCACACACAGUUUUCUUUCUCCUUUAAGCCGAAUGAGGUACUCUGGUCAAAGGAACUUGGGGAAGGAGGAUGGUGAGGGGAAUGAAGUUCUUCUUCCUAUUGAUUAUUUUAUUGCACCAGAGGCUGUUUGUCCAAGGCCACUGGCCAAGAGCAUUAUUUUCGUGGCUAAAGUGAGGUUGGGCAGGUUUCCCAUCCCUUUCGCUAGUUUUAAACAAGACAACCCAGAAAGCGCAGCAAGGCUCUGGGAAUACGAUGUGGGUUGGCUUUUCCUACUCAGCUGCACCUUAAAGCGCCAGGCCAUUGGGCUUGAUACUUCUCAAACCCUGAAUCAUUGCCUCCAGCUCUGCCCUGGGUUCAGGAUGCACCACUCCACCCUCUGUGUAGCUUGGGUCAACUUCGGGGCGUCACUCGAAUAGUAAUUAUUGCUGCGUUUGGCUGGACAUCCUUAUUACGGCCUGGGUCCCUCUCAGCUGGACACCGGGCUCCUUAGUUUGGCUGGGAUGACUCCAGUACUUCCCGCCGCCCCACCUUACCCCCCUACGCGCUCCCUUCCCAAGGCGACCACCUGCACCGCCCCACUUACCAUCUGCCCCGCGGGGAGGGCCCCCCCGGGCUAGCGGAGCCCUCCCUGCUCCCGGGCGGCUUUGGAGGAGCUCGGUGUUUGCCUCCAGCCCUUCGCUACCGGAGGAUCAGGUUCCUCCCCUCCUCCCCCUCCAGCUCCGGCCGCCGCCGCCUCCUUCUUGCAUGACACAGCAGAACCGCAGCUGCUGCAGCAAUUCCAAGCCAUCCGCCCAGGAAGCGCCGCAACCGGGACUCGGGAGGGGUGGAGGGGGCGAGGCAGGGGCCACGGCCCCGGGGGAUCCUCGGCCCCACUGUGCACCACACACUCCUUUCCCAGCCCAGGGGCACGCGAACAAAAUGAGGCUCAAGCUGACCAGGCCGAGCUGGAGGAACGCUGGGGCUUGGCAGCAGAAGGGAUGGGACCAGAGCGAAGGGUGUGGAGGAGACCCCAGUGAGGGCCAGGACAUUUCAGGUAAAGAGAGGUCAUAUCUCCGUACCUCACUUCCUGACACAAACAAGUUUUCACUGUUGUCAGCAACAAAGCCCUAAUAUAGCUGCGGAAGAGAAAAACUGCAUUGCAUUUUGCCUCCUGCAAGCAUCAUCAACAGUUACUGGAGGAAUGUAAUUCCAGAAAGCUUGAAAGCCGUGGUGAUGGUAAUUAUGUAUCAAAUGCCUGGUUCUAUUUCUGUUAUUAUUGUUUUGUCAUUUCUGUUCUCCCAGCGAUCUGACUGAACUUGCAGAGGGACAAAUCCGGUUUUUCUUUUUGACUUUUGUCAAACUGAAUCAGGCCUGAUAGAAAACUCAUUGCUCUCCGAGGAAACAAAGUAGGAGCCAUGAAAUGUCAUUUUAACAGAGCGUGGGUUUGGUGACUGUAGGAAAGGAUUUGAGGACGCUCCUUCUGUUCGGCUUCCUAUGUCAUGAGCACAGACUCCACGCACGCACAGACACCACGGCUCCCGGAUGCUGUGGCUCCCCGAUCUGGGCUCCUGCAGCGCCAGAAGCCCCUCCGGGAUGCUGCGAGGGGCUCCCGGUGGGUGGAGGUACGGACGCCGCUGCGGCCGCCGCCGCCAGUCCUGCUGCUGUUGUUGCUGCUGCAGUCACGUGGGAGCCCCUUUAAGUUUCCAUAGAGAGGCCUCUCUGGUGUCACAUGAUGGACAUGAUAUAAUGAAACAACAUUGUGGAGAGGAAAGCAUUAGGGGAGCCCACGGCUACAAAAACAAGUGAGUGAGAAGAGGUGGGAGGAAGAGAAACUACGCCACCUCCCCUGCAGCCGAGCGCACGCAGCAGCCUGGCGUGACAAGUGGGCGACGCCGGGGGGCAGGGAGCCGGGGUCCUCGGCCCUGGCCGGGGACCCCACCGCCCACCGCGCGGAGAACAACUUUUAGCCGGCAGCCCAGGCCAGCGCGGCACCUGUCUCCUGAGUCUCCACCGCUCCUCCCCAUCCAUCCCAGGGAAAUUCUCAAGAAUACUCUCUACAAAUCUACGUGCGCAUCGUUUUCCCCUCUCGUCGCGCCCGGGAGGAAGGAACGAGGCAAGGAGCUAAGCAGCGUGCGUUCAGCCCUGGGGCAUUUUAUUAAUGCUUUUACGAGUUAGAAGAGUUGGGAUAAUUUACCAUCUGGAGUUUCUCUGCCUUGCUGAUCUGAGCUCAGACCUGCUAAUUUACCAGAGAUGACUGAUAACACCCUGUAACAGCUGAGAGGAAAAUGGAAGAAGCAGUGAUACUUUUAGUGAAACAGAAUAAACCACUGAACAGGAGAAAUGAGGAAGCCGUGAGUACCAGUGGAAGGACCAAGCCAGGAAGAGGGACUGGAACCAUCUCAGAAGCCGUUCCCCUCAGCCUGGAACUUGCCCUGUCUCCUUGCAGAUGAGGUAGGAGGCUCAGCACAGGCUGGCGGGAGCAGCCCACAGCAGCAGUGAGGGUCAGUGGGCCUGUGAGUUAAGAAGAAGGUGGCACAGAGCGAGGGUCUCUGGGUCCUGUUUGACUUUUCCAUGACUGGGAUAAGUAGCCAGGGCUUGGCUAGUUGGAGAGUUACUUGAACCUCAGGUGACAGUUGUAAGGCAGCACAUGGUGUAAAAGAGUCCUAGCCUGGGAAAGUCCAAAAUCUUGGGUCUGCUUUUCAGUUCACUCACCUAUCUCUGUGACAUAGCAAAGUCUCUUAACUUCUUUAAUUUUCCGAUUAGUGGUAUAGUUGCAGGAAUGAAAUAAAACUGGUCCUGAUGACUCAGAGAUUCAUUUACUGAUUACUCUUUUUGUGAUCUGAAUAAAGAGUACAACAUCUCUCAAAAGGUAACAAUUUGAUAUUUCAGGAAAUUAGAGAAGUUAAGAGACUUUGCUGUAUUAUGCAGAUAGUUGACUGACUGCUGAGCCCAGACCCGAGAUUCAUUUAUAAAACAAAAGAGAAGUACAUACUCUGAGGUUUAUCCUAAAUAAACUAGUCUAGGUAAGUGGCUGAGCUAGGUUUGCCAUGAAUCAAUCUGCUGAGUAUAUUUCUUGGUAACUAGUUCAUCUUUCCUUAAUUCAGUCAACAAAUAUGAUACCAAGUUUAGUAAGAUGAUGACGGAUGUCAUGUAAUACUCCAUCUGGAAGACUGUGUGCUUCUCAGCUUCCCUAACUUUUCUUAAUCUACCUUAAGCUUCCCUUCUGAAAGGUUUCUGUCUUUCCUAACAGUCUCUUCUUACCGCCAGCUGCCUCUUGUGUUUAAGAAUUUAAGGAAGAUGAGCUAGGAAUCAAGAAAUACCCAGAACUGAUUCCUGUCACUGGCCCCACCCUGCCACUUGCCCAGAGCUGUGGCAUAAAUUUUUUUAAUAGGCUGAAAUAAAGAUAUGAAUAGUAUUUUGGUAUUAAGCAUUGAUAAAAGUAAAGGCCAUGAGAUAUACCUGCUCUCACCAUGUUAAUUUUCUAUUAUUGGUAUUAAUAAAUUAUUACUUACUAACAUAUUAACAAGAAUUGCAUCGAGAAAAAAAGCAGCCACAGGCCAAAUCUUUUGAAUUUCAAAUGUUUAUAUUAAUGUAUUGUAUUCUAGAAAAGUAGAAUUGUCUUAAGUAGCUUUGUAAUAUAAAGUCAUCUAUCAGCCCAUGACACCUAUUAGAAUGUUUCAACCUUUGUCUCCCACUUUUUUGUUUCUAGACUGAGUGUACUUGGUCUGGUAUUUGUGGCAUAACUUACAGAACACAUAAGAAUGAUACAGAUACUACUUAAUGACGACCUAGUACAAGCUUAGAUAGCUAAGGUGAAAGCUUCUGUGGCCUUAACAUUUUCCUCUUGAAGAAUGUAUUUGCUGUAAUAAAAUACAGUGACUAUUUGAAAUCUAUAAACUUAUGUGAGGUCUGGAUAAAUCUGAGCAACUUUCUUUUUUGUGCUCCAGGAACCCACGCACUAUAUAUACAAAUAAAGCUUAAGUAAACAUCACUGCUGCAA